Long non-coding RNA from Triticum aestivum (bread wheat), 1233 nucleotides. RefSeq lists it as uncharacterized. Lineage: Eukaryota; Viridiplantae; Streptophyta; Magnoliopsida; Poales; Poaceae. The record is from RefSeq and is a predicted model, not a curated record. The transcript is spliced from 4 exons.
ACCCACUUCCUCCACCUUCUCCCCGAACCAAUCUCCAUCUCUCUCCCAAUCCCGAACUACCUGGCAUCCCUCCCUCCCGCGAGUCUAAGACCACCCAGCGGCGGCCCCUCUCUCCGCCGAGAAAAAUCGCCGGAUCGCCGCCCCAAGCCCCCAAAACUCCUGCCACGGUUGAGGUCUCCGGUGUAGGAGGAUCCGCAGCCCGCGGUGGGUCUUCUCCCCUGCACCCCGAGCUCCGAUGGCCUCGAUCUGGGAGCCGAGUGGAGGCGCGGUGGUGCCAAGCAUGGCGACGCUGAUCCUGAUAGCGUCCUGGCCACGGUCGCCGACGGCACGCCUUCACAAGAGUCCCGCACGGCACGGGAUCCAAUGGAGAGGGUGGCACACUGGCUGCACCGAUGAGUUCGCAGCCAUCAUGCACGUCGACAUUAGCUGCGGCACGUACGAGCCCUGCAGCAUCGGCCUAGGUUACUGCACCGGCGACCUCUGUGGUACAUGCGAUGAUGCCAGCGCAGAUCCACAAGAUUAGAUGCGUGCACUUGCUGGUGAUGAUAGCCAUCUUGGACGCCUUGUUCGUGGACCCCGGCUUGCUUAAGUGCAUAUUGUUGAUUGGUCCGGCUUACAAAGAGGAGUACUAGCUUCCCGAGUCUCUUACAGAGGCACUCAAAUGGUCAAAGCAUGACUAUAUUAGUAUAACCAACUACAUCAGCCGUGAGGAUCUUCAGGUUUGCUCUAGAAUUAGACCUUGUAGGUAUUCUAAACUGAUAUAUAUACUGGCAUGGCAUGUAUGCGGAAUUAAAAAUCUUAGCUUCAAUUGCUUCUGACGCAUAAUAAUGUCUUCCAACUCUAUAAUAUUUAUUUCCUGUGCCGAUACUAUUAACCUGUUCCUUGAUUUAUAUCUUCUCUAACUGGUUCAUUAUGUUUGUUGUGACUUCAUCAGAGUAUUCGUUAACAAAUAGAGAUGUAUACUCCGAAUGCCUUUUCUUACAAUUGUAUAUGGGUGAUUGUGAUGCACAUAUUUCUAGCAGCAGCAGUGCUACCUGCUAUUGUGAGUCUGUACAAAGGCUGGUGCGACCGUCUUGGAGGUGAUGUCGUUUUUGGGAAGGUUGUAUUGGAUAUCUAUAUGCUUUCGGCCGGGUGAAAAAAACCAUGUAUAAAGAGUCCAACGUUUGAGAUUCUAGCAUGAAAAGAGGAUAUGCUGACUGAACUUGACCAAUCUGGUGCUACAUUUAGAUUGAA